ACAUCUGACCUUGGAAGUCAAACCGGACAGCCAUAAUAAACAAACCAGUGCUUGAGCAGGGCCUUUGCCGUUGUAUUCGCUGUC
This is a long non-coding RNA of Sinocyclocheilus anshuiensis, 84 nucleotides long. RefSeq lists it as uncharacterized. Lineage: Eukaryota; Metazoa; Chordata; Actinopteri; Cypriniformes; Cyprinidae. The transcript has 3 exons. The record is from RefSeq and is a predicted model, not a curated record.